Molecule: ribosomal RNA, 497 nt
Filed under: uncultured bacterium
Lineage: Bacteria
Description: partial 16S ribosomal RNA
Rfam family: Bacterial small subunit ribosomal RNA
Source: RNAcentral
GAUGAACGCUGGCGGCGUGCCUAAUACAUGCAAGUCGAGCGAACGGACGAGAAGCUUGCUUCUCUGAUGUUAGCGGCGGACGGGUGAGUAACACGUGGAUAACCUACCUAUAAGACUGGGAUAACUUCGGGAAAUCGUAGCUAAUACCGGAUAAUAUUUUGAACCGCAUGGUUCAAAAGUGAAAGACGGUCUUGCUGUCACUUAUAGAUGGAUCCGCGCUGCAUUAGCUAGUUGGUAAGGUAACGGCUUACCAAGGCAACGAUGCAUAGCCGACCUGAGAGGGUGAUCGGCCACACUGGAACUGAGACACGGUCCAGACUCCUACGGGAGGCAGCAGUAGGGAAUCUUCCGCAAUGGGCGAAAGCCUGACGGAGCAACGCCGCGUGAGUGAUGAAGGUCUUCGGAUCGUAAAACUCUGUUAUUAGGGAAGAACAUAUGUGUAAGUAACUGUGCACAUCUUGACGGUACCUAAUCAGAAAGCCACGGCUAACUACGUG